GACGAACGCUGGCGGCGUGCUUAACACAUGCAAGUCGAACGGAAAGGCCCUGCUUUUGUUGGGUGCUCGAUUGGCGAACGGGUGAGUAACACGUGAGUAACCUGCCCUUGACUUUGUGAUAACUUCAGGAAACUGGGGCUAAUAUCGGAUAGGAGCUCCUGCUGCAUGGUGGGGGUUGGAAAGUUUCGGCGGUUGUGGAUGGACUCGCGGCUUAUCAGCUUGUUGGUGGGGUAGGUGCGUACCAAGGCUUUGACGGGUAGCCGGCCUGAGAGGGUGACCGGCCACCAUGGGACUGCGAUACGGCCCAGACUCCUACGGGAGGCAGCAGUGGGGAAUAUUGCACAAUGGGCGGAAGCCUGAUGCAGCAACGCCGCGUGCGGGAUGACGGCCUUCGGGUUGUAAACCGCUUUCGAAUGUGCCGAAGCGUGAGUGACGGUAAUGAGUAAAGAAGCACCGGCUAACUACGUG
RNAcentral lists this ribosomal RNA (468 nucleotides) under uncultured bacterium. Its description in RNAcentral is "partial 16S ribosomal RNA". It matches the Rfam family "Bacterial small subunit ribosomal RNA", at positions 28 to 507 of the family's 1533-position model. The record is from RNAcentral.